Molecule: long non-coding RNA, 1687 nt
Organism: Columba livia (rock pigeon)
Lineage: Eukaryota; Metazoa; Chordata; Aves; Columbiformes; Columbidae
Exons: 3
Source: RefSeq, a predicted model, not a curated record
CGCCCAGGCCGCCCCUGCAGGGCGAAAAACAAGUAUUUAAAAGCCUUGGCAUGAACAAAAGACAAAAAACCAAACAGACCCGAAAACAGAACCCCACAAACAACGUUAUUUAUGCAGAGAAUCUCCCAGAGAGAGCAGGGCUCGGAGAAGGAGCAGAUAUCCCUUCACCAGAGCAGGAAAAUGUUGAAUAUAAGAACUCUGUACUGCUGAGCACGAGUGAGUGUGGAGAUGAAGGCCAGAGAUGUUAAAACAUAACAUACAAGAAGACUGGCAAGCAGUAAAUACCUUUGUAGUACCAUCUUUCCCUCAGGAUCUUGACAAGGAAUGACAAUUCAGUCAGCUUGCAACUUACUUCUCUUAACAUUGCUUAUAAGGGUACUUGCACAGCCGAAGUUUCCAGAGCCUUCUUUUAAUAUUCUUUCAGGAUGAGCAUCCACCUCUGCUCUGGAAGGCAUUGUGGGAAAGAGCAAUUCAAACAAAAAAAUAAGGGGACAUUAGAAAACAAAAAGCAUUUUAUACAGACUAGGCCUCCCAUAAGCCAGGCAGGACGGAGGUUGCCAAGAUGGGAUCACUUCGCACCAGCACUCACAUACUAAAACAUUACUACUUAAUAGUCAAAAGUCUGUGCUCUGCGAUCUCUUUAAAUCCAUGGAAUUUGGUUACUCUGAGAAGCACAGAGCGAUCCCGAGGAAAGGGAAAAAAAGAAAAAUCAGCUAAGCAAGCGGCCGAAAGAGAAGCACCAGGUCGAUGUGGCACAUCUGCGCAGCGGUGCGAGGUCCUGGCGGCCGCAGGUGCGGUCACAGCGGGUCCCGGACGCCGCGGAGCCGCAGGGCGAGCGCGACAACUGGAGUUUCUUCAAGGACGAGCGGCCGGAGCGCCCGAGGCUCUGAAAGGGGACACCGAGCGGCCGGGGAGGCCCCGAGCUGUGUCCCCGUGCACAGGCUGCUCAAUAAAUAACCCGCACUCAUCACGCGGGGCCGUGACCAAGCAAGCGGUACCAGAGGGAGCGGCGCACCCGGCGGGGGCGAGCGCCGGGCAGGGCCACGCAGCACACCGGCCACCCCGCACACCGGCCGUCCCGCACACCCGCCGCCCCUCGGCUCCGCUCGGCUCCCCCGCCGCCCACACGGCCACUCGGGCAGCAAAGCCGCCAUGGGAGCGGCGCACGGCCGGACCCGCCGAGGGACGGGCUGACCCGCCUGUCCCAGCGGCCGCUCCGGAGGGAGGGAGCCGGGGCGAGGCGGGGCAGAGCCGCUGCGUUUACCCGCCCUGGCCCCGCAUGGGAGCCCCUCGGGCCAGCCGCUCUCCCAUCCGGCCGUGAAGUUCAGAGGAUGAUACAAACGGAACCAGAAUGGAGAGAAUCCAGCUGUCGGAGAGGUGCCUGAAGCGGUUUGGGACUGCCAGCCAAUGCUGUUCUUAAGCUAAGCUACCGGGUAUGCUAGCAGUGGAACACACAGCCUGUGCCCGUGCAGUGUCAGAGACUGUGAAGGAGAAAUAAAAAAGAAAUGAGAAACUCGGUAUGAAAAAUAUUAGAAAGAAGCAAAAGUUUGGAAAAGCAGAUAACUUCCCUUUGUAAAAACAGUCUUGUUAAAAUAUAUGGAACACAAAUGGCUGCCCUCUGAAGAUUGAUUUGCUCCAAAAUAAUGUAAUGAUGUCCAACAUUUCAAAUGCAGAAAUUCAGUUAUAA